UACAGAGGGGGCAAGCGUUAUUCGGAAUUAUUGGGCGUAAAGGGCUCGUAGGCGGCCAACUAAGUCAGACGUGAAAUCCCUCGGCUUAACCGGGGAACUGCGUCUGAUACUGGAUGGCUUGAGUUUGGGAGAGGGAUGCGGAAUUCCAGGUGUAGCGGUGAAAUGCGUAGAUAUCUGGAGGAACACCGGUGGCGAAGGCGGCAUCCUGGACCAACACUGACGCCGAGGAGCGAAAGCCAGGGGAGCAAACGGG
RNAcentral lists this ribosomal RNA (253 nucleotides) under uncultured bacterium. RNAcentral describes it as "partial 16S ribosomal RNA". It matches the Rfam family "Bacterial small subunit ribosomal RNA", at positions 524 to 776 of the family's 1533-position model. The record is from RNAcentral.